CAGAAUGAAAAUUCUCUGGGGCUUAUGCCUACCACCUCCAGACUCUAAUUACACUAGGAGAAACCAAUGUUGCUGCAGAAUGCUUGAGUUAGCAUUUCCUGACUUUGCUGCCGUGUAGAGAAUUUGCAUGUGUGGACAUUGCUUUGGAUCCCUCUGGAUCAGAAGUUCCCUUGUGGGCCCACUGUGAAGAUGAAUUGCUAAACGAAUUGUGAUACAGCCACACAAUGGACUACUGCUCAGCAAUAAAAAGGAAUGAACUAUUGAUAUGCCCAACAACGUAGAUGAACCUCAAAACCGUUAUGUUUGUUGAGAGGUUCGCUGUGGCUUGAACGUCUGUCCCUUGCCAAACUCAUGUUGAAAUGUAAUUGCCAUUGUAACAGUCUUAAGAGCCGAGCAUGGUGGCUGACGCUGGUAAUUCCACCACUUUGGAAGGCCAAGAUGUGAGGAUCACUUGAACCCGGGAGUUCCAGACCAGCCUGGACAGCAUAGUGAGAUUCUGUCUCUAUGCAAAAUAAAAUAAAAUAAAAAAUUAUCCAGGCACGGUGGCAUGCGCCUGUAGUUCCAGCUACUUGGGAGGCUGAGGCAAGAGGAUUGCUGGAACCCAGGAAGUUGAGGAUGCAAUAAGCUUGAUCACGCCACCACACUCCAGUCUGGGCGACGGAGCGAGACCCUGCCUCAAGAGAACAAACAACAACAACAGAAACCUAUGUUUCCCUCUAUGCACUGCUUUAGCUCGUUCAAUUUAAAAUAGUCUCUAAUUUCCCUCGUAUGUCUUUUAUGAUCCAUAAAUAAUUUAUAAGGGUGCUGUUUAAUUUCCAAAUAUUUGUGAUUUCCUCUGAAAUAGAUUAUUCCCACUGACUUAUUUCUGAUUUGUUUCACACAGUGUGCUUUGUAUGAUUUUAAUACAUUUAAAUUCAUUUAAAAUUGUUUUAUGGCCCAACAUAUGGUCAGUCUUGAAAAAUGUACUUCUUUUCACUUGAAAAGAAGUGUGUUUUUCAGUUCUAUAAAUGGUGUCCUAUGAAUUUCAAUUAGAUCAUGGGAGUUGAUAAUGUUAAAAUCUUCUAAGUCUACUGAUUUUUAAAAAUCUAGCUGUUGUAUUAAUUGGUAAGAAGAGUCUUAAAUAUAAUACUCUGACUGUAAAAUAGUCUAUUUUUUCUUUUCAUUCUGUCGAUUUUUGCCUGAUGUAUUUUGAAACUCUGUUCUUAGGUCUAUACACAUUUAUAAUUAUGUCUACACACAUUUAUAAUUAUGUCUACCUGAUCAAUUGUUCUUUUUUCUCAUAAUAAAAUAUCCCUCAUCUCUUCUAAUAU
RNAcentral lists this long non-coding RNA (1310 nucleotides) under Homo sapiens (human). RNAcentral's name for it is "HSALNT0200070". The record is from RNAcentral. Lineage: Eukaryota; Metazoa; Chordata; Mammalia; Primates; Hominidae.